Molecule: ribosomal RNA, 254 nt
Filed under: uncultured bacterium
Lineage: Bacteria
Description: partial 16S ribosomal RNA
Rfam family: Bacterial small subunit ribosomal RNA
Source: RNAcentral
UACGUAGGGGCCAAGCGUUGUCCGGAUUUAUUGGGCGUAAAGAGCUCGUAGGCGGUUCGGCAAGUCGAAUGUGAAAUCUCCACGCUCAACGUGGAGGGGUCAUUCGAUACUGCCGUGACUUGAGUACGGUAGGGGAGUGUGGAAUUCCCGGUGUAGCGGUGAAAUGCGCAGAGAUCGGGAAGAACAUCGGUGGCGAAAGCGCUCUACUGGACCGCAACUGACACUCAGGGACGAAAGCUAGGGGAGCGAAUGGG